This 2896-nucleotide ribosomal RNA is filed under the name Clostridioides difficile. RNAcentral describes it as "23S ribosomal RNA". It matches the Rfam family "Bacterial large subunit ribosomal RNA". The record is from RNAcentral. Lineage: Bacteria; Bacillati; Bacillota; Clostridia; Peptostreptococcales; Peptostreptococcaceae.
UCAAGUUAUUAAGGGUGCAGGGCGGAUGCCUUGGCACUAGGAGCCGAUGAAGGACGUGAUAAGCUGCGAUAAGCUUCGGGGAGUUGCACGUAAACUUUGAUCCGAAGAUUUCCGAAUGAGGAAACUCACUUAGAGUAAUGUCUAAGUAUCAUUAAGUGAAUACAUAGCUUAAUGAGGGGAACUCAGGGAACUGAAACAUCUAAGUACCUGAAGGAAGAGAAAGAAAUUCGAUUCCGUAAGUAGCGGCGAGCGAACGCGGAUUAGCCCAAACCAAUAAAGUUUUCUUUAUUGGGGUUGCGGACAUAUCAUAACGAAGAGGUAUCGUAAUUGAAGAGGUUUGGAAAGACCCACCACAGAAGGUAAUAGUCCUGUAUGUUAAACGAGAAGACUUCAGAUAUGAUCCAGAGUACCACGGGACACGUGAAACCCUGUGGGAAGCAGGAGGGACCACCCUCCAAGGCUAAAUACUACCUAGUGACCGAUAGCGUAUAGUACCGUGAGGGAAAGGUGAAAAGAACCCCGGGAGGGGAGUGAAAUAGAACCUGAAACCCUGCACUUACAAGCUGUGGAAGCACAUUUCUUGUGUGACCGCGUACUUUUUGUAGAACGGGCCAACGAGUUACGUUAAGUAGCAAGGUUAAGCACUUAAGGUGUGGAGCCGUAGCGAAAGCGAGUUUUAACUGAGCGUUCAGUUACUUGACGUAGACCCGAAACCGGGCGACCUACCCAUGAGCAGGAUGAAGCGAAAGUAAAAUUUCGUGGAGGUCCGAACCCACGAGCGUUGAAAAGCUCGGGGAUGACUUGUGGGUAGCGGUGAAAUUCCAAUCGAGCCCGGAGAUAGCUGGUUCUCCCCGAAAUAGCUUUAGGGCUAGCCUCAAGGUGAGAGAUACGGAGGUAGAGCACUGAAUGUCCUAGGGGGUAUUGCACCUACCGAAGACUAUCAAACUCCGAAUGCCGUCAUCUUAUACUUGGGAGUCAGACUGUGGGUGAUAAGAUUCAUAGUCGAAAGGGCAACAGCCCAGAUCGUCAGCUAAGGUCCCUCAAUGUAAGUUAAGUGGUAAAGGAUGUGGGAUUGCACAGACAACCAGGAUGUUGGCUUAGAAGCAGCCACUCAUUCAAAGAGUGCGUAAUAGCUCACUGGUCGAGUGAUCCUGCGCCGAAGAUUUCCGGGGCUAAAACUUACUACCGAAGCUACGGCAUCAGUAAUGAUGGGUAGGGGAGCUUCCCAUACGGGUUGAAGCAUGACCGUAAGGACAUGUGGACAGUAUGGGAGUGAGAAUGUUGGCAUGAGUAGCGAGAUGUGGGUGAGAAUCCCACAGGCCGUAAACCCAAGGUUUCCAGGGGAAGGUUCGUCCGCCCUGGGUUAGUCGGGACCUAAGCUGAGGCCGAAAGGCGUAGGUGAUGGACAACAGGUUGAUAUUCCUGUACUACCGAUAACCGUUUGAGAGAAGGGAUGACACAGUAGGAUAAGCUAAGCACACUGUUGGUUAUGUGUGCCCAAGCAUUGAGGCAGUCAAAGUAGGCAAAUCCGCUUUGAUAAUGCUGGGAUGUGAUGGGGAGCGAAAUUUAGUAGCGAAGUAGCUGAUUUCACACUGUCAAGAAAAGUCUCUAUCGAGGUUAAAGGUACCCGUACCGCAAACCGACACAGGUGGGUGAGGAGAGUAUCCUAAGGCCAGCGAGAGAACUGUUGUUAAGGAACUCGGCAAAAUGACCCCGUAACUUAGGGAUAAGGGGUGCCACCAUCAGGUGGCCGCAGAGAAUAGGCCCAAGCGACUGUUUACCAAAAACAUAGGUUUCUGCUAAGUCGCAAGACGAUGUAUAGGAGCUGACGCCUGCCCGGUGCUGGAAGGUUAAGGGGAUCUGUUAGAGCAAUCGAAGCAGUGAACUUAAGCCCCAGUAAACGGCGGCCGUAACUAUAACGGUCCUAAGGUAGCGAAAUUCCUUGUCGGGUAAGUUCCGACCCGCACGAAAGGCGUAACGAUUUGGGCACUGUCUCAACAACAGACUCGGUGAAAUUGUAAUUCCGGUGAAGAUGCCGGAUACCUGCGACAGGACGGAAAGACCCCAUGGAGCUUUACUGUAGCUUGACAUUGGGUCUUGGUACUACAUGUACAGGAUAGGUGGGAGGCUUUGAAACCAGGACGCCAGUUUUGGCGGAGCCAUCCUUGGGAUACCACCCUUGUAGUACUGGGACUCUAACCAUAGGCCAUGAAUCUGGUCUUGGGACACUGUCAGGUGGGCAGUUUGACUGGGGCGGUCGCCUCCCAAAAGGUAACGGAGGCGCUCAAAGGUUCUCUCAGUACGGUCGGAAAUCGUACGUAGAGUGUAAAGGCAAAAGAGAGCUUGAUUGCAAGACAUACAGGUCGAGCAAGGAUGAAAAUCGGACUUAGUGAUCCGGUGGUUCUGCGUGGAAGGGCCAUCGCUCAACGGAUAAAAGCUACCCUGGGGAUAACAGGCUUAUCUCCCCCAAGAGUCCACAUCGACGGGGAGGUUUGGCACCUCGAUGUCGGCUCAUCACAUCCUGGGGCUGUAGUAGGUCCCAAGGGUUGGGCUGUUCGCCCAUUAAAGUGGUACGCGAGCUGGGUUCAGAACGUCGUGAGACAGUUCGGUCCCUAUCCGUCGCAGGCGUAGGAAAUUUGAGAAGACCUGUCCUUAGUACGAGAGGACCGGGAUGGACGUACCUCUGGUGUACCAGUUGUUCUGCCAAGGGCAUGGCUGGGUAGCUAUGUACGGAAUGGAUAAGCGCUGAAAGCAUCUAAGCGCGAAGCCAACUUCAAGAUAAGAUUUCCCACCGCAAGGGUAAGACCCCAGAAAGACUAUCUGGUUGAUAGGUCGAAGGUGUAAGUGCAGCAAUGUAUUUAGCUUAUCGAUACUAAUAGGUCGAGGACUUGACCAA